GGAGUGCUGAAAUGUUCACGAAUAUCAGGCAGAACAGGAGUUAACAACAUGGACUGGACUAAUAGAAGACUAAAGUAAUCUUUUUGACUUUUUGCUUAAAAGGAUCCUCUGUUUUGUUUUUCAGAGCCAAUAAAACUUUUCUUUUGAGUGAUUUGCAGCUUUUAACAAACUGAACCUGCUUAUUUCUGUGAACCAACCAGUGAUCUCUUAUGGCUGUUCAAAAGUAACAAGAGAGCAGCAACAUGGAUGCAGGGGGAGGCCAUAAUCAUAAGGGAGUUAACACAAGAAGAAACAACAAAAUUCCACAUGUUUUCAUGGAUAAGUGGGAGCUUAACACUGAGCAUGGGAACAUGAACAUGAACACGAGAAAUAUAGACACUGUGGACUCCUAGAGGUAGGUGGUAGGGAAUGGAAUGUUGGUUGAAAAACUACUUAUUGAACGUUAGGCUCACUACCUGGGUCCAAAAUUGCCAUGUAACAAUCCUACACAUGUAACCCCUGUAUCUCCCUGUAUCUUAAACAAAAGUUGAAAUUCGGAAAAGAAACUGCCUUCACGGUAUCCCUUAUGUGUUGCUAUAUCGUGUUUUCAGUUUCAUUUGUCUCAAGAUAUUUCAUGAUUUCCCUUUUUUGAUCCAUUGCUUAUUCAUGUGUGUGUUGUUUUGUUUCCACAUAUUUGUGUAUUUUCCAAUUGUCCUGUUGUUAUUAAUUUCUAGAUCCAUCUUAUUCUGAUUGAAAAAGAGGUUUGCUAUUAUUUCAAUCUUCUUAAAUUUGUUAAGACUUGGUUUGUGGUGUAACAUGUAACUUGUCCUGGAGAAUGUUCCAGGUGUGCUUGAAAAGGAUGUCUAUUCUGCAAAAUGGAUAUGCAAAAAUGGCUAGCAUUCCUAUACACCAACAAUAGGCAAGCAGGGAGCCAAAUCAUGAUUGAACUCCCAUUCACAAUUUCUACACAAAGACGGAAAUACCUAGAAACACAGCUAACAAGGGAAAUGAAGGACCUCUUUAAGGAGAACCACAAACCACUUCUCAAAGGAAUCAGAGAGAACACAAAAAAAAUAGAAAAGCAUUCCAUGCUCAUGGCCAGGAAGAAUCAAUAUCAUAAAAACGGCCAUACUGCCCAAAGUAAUUUCUAGAUUCAAUGCUAUUUCCAUUAAACUACCAUUGACAGACUUCACAGAAAUAGAGAAAAAAAAAAAAAAAACGACUUUAAAAUUCAUAGGGAACCAAAAAAGAGCCCGAAUAGCCAAGACAAUCCUAAGCAAAAAGACCAAAGCUGCUACCUGACUUUAAACUAUACUACAAGACUGCAGUAAACAAAACCACAUGGUACUGGUACAAGGACAGACACACAGACCAAUGGAACAGAAUAGAGAAUGCAGAAAUAAGACCACACACCUACAACCAACUGAUCUUCGACAAACCUGACAAAAAUUAGCAAUGGGGAAAGAAUUCCUUAUUUAAUAAAUGAUGCUGAAAGAACUGGCUAGCCAUAGGCAGAAAACUGAAACUGGACCCCUUCCCCACACCAUAUGCAAAAAUUAACUCAAGACGGAUUAAAGACUUAAACGUAAAACCCAGAACUAUAAAAACCCUAGAAGAAAAUCUAGAUAAUACCAUCCAGGACAUAGGCAUGGGCAAAGAUUUAAUGAUGAAAACACCCAAAGCAAUUGCAACAAAAGCAAAAACUGACAAAUGGGAUCUAAAUAAACUAAAGAGCUUCUGCACAGCAAAAGAAACUAUCAUCAGAGUGAACAGACAACCUACAGGAUGGGAGAAAUGCUUUUUCAAUCUAUCCAUCUAGCAACGGUCUAACAUCCAGAGUCUGCAAGGAACGUAAGCAAAUUUACAAGAAAAGAUAUAACCAUUAAAACGUGGGCAAAGGACAUGAACAGACACUUCUCAAAAGAAGACAUACAUGCAGCCAACAAACAUAUGAAAAAAUGCUGAACAUCACUGAUCAUCAGAGAAAUGCAAAUAAAAACCACAAUGAGAUAGCACGUCACACCAGUCAGAAUGGCUAUUAUUAAAAAGUCAAGAAACAACAGAUGCUGUCAAGGUUGCAGAGAAAAAGGAACGCUUUUACACUGUUGGUAGGAGCGUAAAGUAGUUCAACCAUCGUGGAAGACAGCAUGGCGAUUCCUCAAAAGACCUCCAGGGAGAAAUACCAUUUGACCCAGCAAUCCCAUUACUGAGUAUAUACCCAAAGGAAUAUAAAUAAUUUUAUUAUAAAGAUACAUGCAAUGUGUGAGUUCAUUACAGCUCUAUUCAAAAUAGCAAAGAUAUGGAAUCUACCUAAAUGCCCAUCCGUGGUAGACUGGAGAAAGAAAAUGUGGUACAUAUACACCAUGGGAUACUAUGCAGCCAUAAAAAGGAACAAGAUCAUGUCCUUUGCAAGGACAUGGGUGGAGCUGGAAGCAAUUAGGCUCAGCAAACUAAUGCAGAAACAGAAAACCAAACAACGCAUGUUCUCACUUACAAGGGGGAGCUGAAUGAUGAGAACACAUUUACACAUGGAGGGAACAACACACACUGUGGCCUGUCAGGACGGUGGGGUCAGGGAGAGCAUCAGGAAGAAUAGCUAAUGGACACUGGGCUUAAUACCUAGGUUAUGAGGUGAUCGGUGCAGCAAACCACCACGGCACACGUUUACCUACGUAACAAACCUGCACAUCCUGCACACGUGAACUUAAAAUAAAAGUUGAAGACAAAAACAAAAAAAAAGAAGAAGAAGAAGAAAAGAGUGUGUAUUCUGGGACUGUUGGUUGCAGUGUUCUGCGUAUAUCUAAGUUCAUCUGUUUAUAAUGUUGUUCAAGUUUGUUAUUUCCUCAUCAAUUUUCUGUAUGCAUGUCCUAUGCAUUGUUAAAAGUGCAGUAUUAAAAUCUCCUAUGAUUAUUAAAUUGCUGUAUAUUUUUACCUCUCAGUUAUUCACUGUAUGCUUUAUAUAUUUAUGUUCUCUGAUGUUUGGUAUGUAUGUGUUUAUAAUUAUUAUAUCUCGUUGGUGAGUAGGUUCUUUAAUUUUAUACCAUAUACAUAAAUCAACUUAAAAUAGAUUAAAGAUUUAAGUAUAAGACCUGAAACUGUUCAACUCUUAAACAAGAGUAUAGAUAAAAACUCGCUGACAUUAACCUGGGCAAUGAUUUUUUUGAUAUGUCACUAAAAUCAAAGGCAACAAAAGCAAAAAGAUACAAGUGGUAUUACAUCAAACUGGAGAGCCUCUACACAGCAGAGAAAACAAUCAACAAAAUAAAAUACAGCCUAUUGAAAGGGAGAAAUGUUUAUAAAUGCUAUAUCUGUUACUGCGUUAGUAUAAAAAUAUAUAACAAAUUCCUGCAACUCAAUAGCACAAAUCAAACAACACAAUUUAAAAAAUCAUCAAAGGACUUGAAUAGACACUUCUCCAAUGAAUACAUACAAGCAGCCAACAAGUAUAUGAAAAGGUGUUCCACAUCACUAACCUGAGAAAUGCAAAUCAAACCAUGGUGAGAUGUCACUUCACACUAGUUAGGAUGGCUACUAUGAAAAAGACGGGAGAUAACAAGUUACGAAGAAAAUGUUAAAUAAUGGGACCCCUUGUACUCUGUUGGUGGGAAUGUAAAAUGGUGCAGCUGCUAUGGAAAAUAGUAUGGAGGUUCUGCAAAAGAUUAAAAAUAGGACUACUAUAUGACCCAGCAAUUCCACUGCUGUGCAUAUACCCCGCAAAAUAGAAAUCAAAAUCCUGAAGAGAAAUUUGUACUCCCAUGUUCAUUACAACAUCAUUCACGGUAGCCAACAUAUAGAAACAAUCCAAGUAGCCAUUGACUGAUGAAUAGUGAAACAAAUGUGGUAUAUACAAAAUAGAAUGUUAUUCAGACUUCACAAAGGAGAGUAUCAUGCCGUAAACAACAACAUAGAUAAUCAUAAAGGAUAUUAUGCUAAGGGAAAUAAGCCAGUUAGAGAAAGAUAAACACUGCAUGACUGUCCUUGUAUAUCUGAAAUAUUAAAAAUUAAAGAAGCAGAGAAUAGAAUGGUGAUUUCAAGGGGCUAGUGGCAUUAAAAAUGGGAGGUUGUUGUUUACCAGGUUUAAAAUUUUUGUUAUGCAGGAUAAAUAACUCCUAGAGAUUUGCUGUACAACCCAGUAACAGUAGUUACCAGUAUUGUAUUGUACAAUUAAAAAUUUGUUAAAUGGAACUUCUUAUGUUAAGUGGACUUACCACAAUAAGAAUAUAUGGUACAAAUAUUGAGCUCCGUGUAAUAGAUUUGUUCUGUAUAGAUUUAUGGGUUAGAAAUUUCAAAA
This 4270-nucleotide long non-coding RNA is filed under the name Homo sapiens (human). RNAcentral describes it as "HSALNT0407675". Lineage: Eukaryota; Metazoa; Chordata; Mammalia; Primates; Hominidae. The record is from RNAcentral.